AAGUGGAAUCAUCGUUUCAGUUCUAUAGGCUAAGUUGAAUGGCGAUUUUCCUAUCGAUAUAUGAGAAGUUAUCCAAUAUGCCCUUAAGAUCGAAUAUAAUUUUUCUACCCAGAAGUCUUUAGCUUCAUUCAGUCUGGUCUUGAGACCAUGUAGAAUUACUCGGUUUGUCAACUUCACUUCACUGUUGGACUGUGGAUGACCGACUGAGGUAAGC
This 214-nucleotide long non-coding RNA is filed under the name Elaeis guineensis (African oil palm). Its description in RNAcentral is "long non-coding RNA (EGUI_LNC010577)". Lineage: Eukaryota; Viridiplantae; Streptophyta; Magnoliopsida; Arecales; Arecaceae. The record is from RNAcentral.